Onthophagus taurus is the source of this 398-nucleotide non-coding RNA. Lineage: Eukaryota; Metazoa; Arthropoda; Insecta; Coleoptera; Scarabaeidae. The record is from RefSeq and is a predicted model, not a curated record.
UAGAGAAUAUAACUACACAUGCGUAUAAGCGUAAGUUACAAAAUACGGUGAUCAUAAUAUUUUUUAGUGAAACUUCAAUUUUCUAUAACAAUGUGGUACGAAAUUUUGCCGAGUGCUGGAAUUAUUUUGGUGGCGAUGACCUUUCCGCACGCCUCUGCGUAUGUUAUUAAUAAAUUGGUACUUGGAAACAUGUAUCGAAGAGGUAUGGUUACUGGAGCUGAUAGAUACAAUUAUACUAGGGAUAGAAGACUAGCAGGUGGAAAUCCUUAUAAAGUUGUGGGGUUAGAAGCCAUCCCAAAUAAAUGAAGAUAGUAGAUGAAAAGAAAACUGAAGAAAAAUCAAUUCAUAGGAAGUAUUAAUGAUGUAAAAUAAUAAUAAAUGUAAAUUUAUUAAUUGUU